GAUUUUUUUUUUUUAACGGCCGCAGUACCUUGACUGUGCUAAGGUAGCGUAAUAAUUUGGCUUUUGAUUGGGGUCAAGAAUGAAUGGGGAACGGGGAAAUUGUCUCUUUUUAAUUUUUUAAAUUUACUUAGCAGGUGAAAAUUCCUGUAUUUAUUAUUAGACGAGAAGACCCUUAGAAUUUUCAUAAUUUUUGUUGGGGCGACAAUAUUACAUAAAACUUUUAUUUUAUUUUAACAAGACGAGUAAGAUUAAAUUACCUAAGGGAUAACAGCAUAAUAUAAAGAUUAUGACCUCGAUGUUGGAUUAGGGAAUAAUGGUUAGUAAUUAU
This 328-nucleotide ribosomal RNA is filed under the name Alsolemia longstaffae. RNAcentral describes it as "partial large subunit ribosomal RNA". Lineage: Eukaryota; Metazoa; Mollusca; Gastropoda; Stylommatophora; Charopidae. The record is from RNAcentral.